RNAcentral lists this ribosomal RNA (325 nucleotides) under uncultured eukaryote. Its description in RNAcentral is "partial 18S ribosomal RNA". It matches the Rfam family "Eukaryotic small subunit ribosomal RNA", at positions 1470 to 1796 of the family's 1831-position model. The record is from RNAcentral.
CCCUUAGAUGUUCUGGGCUGCACGCGCGCUACACUGGCGCGUUCAGCGAGUUUAGCACCUUAACAGAUAUGUUUGGGUAAUCUUCUGAAAACGCACCGUGAUGGGGAUCGAUUAUUGUAAUUAUUAAUCGUCAACGAGGAAUUCCUAGUAAGUGUGAAUCAUCAGUUCGCGCUGAUUACGUCCCUGCCCUUUGUACACACCGCCCGUCGCUGCUACCGAUUGAGUGGUCCGGUGAAUUAUUCGGACCGGUGGACUGUGGGGAAACCCGCGGCCUGCUGGGAAGUCUUGUGAACCUUAUCACUUAGAGGAAGCAGAAGUCGUAACA